RNAcentral lists this ribosomal RNA (1417 nucleotides) under uncultured eukaryote. RNAcentral describes it as "SSU rRNA". It matches the Rfam family "Eukaryotic small subunit ribosomal RNA", at positions 135 to 1701 of the family's 1831-position model. The record is from RNAcentral.
UUAUAUGGAUAACCGUAGGAAAUCUAGAGCUAAUACAUGCUGUUGCGCUGUGCGUAGUAUUUAUUAGGUAAACACCACCGGGCAACCGUGGAGGAAUCAUAAUAACUUAGCGAACUCCGAAGGAGUGAAGCAAUCAAGUUUCUGCCCCAACAGCUUGAUGGUAGUGUAUUGGACUACCAUGGCGAUAACGGGUACGGGGAAUUAGGGUUCGAUUCCGGAGAGGGAGCCUGAGAAACGGCUACCGUAUCUAAGGGUGACAGUAGCUGCGCAAAUUACCCAAUCCUAAUUCAGGGAGGUAGUGACAAGAAAUAUCAAUGUUGGCUAAGUCGAGCAUUGAAAUGAGCGAAGUUUAGACCCCUUCGCAAUGACCCACUGGAGGGCAAGUCUGGUGCCAGCAGCCGCGGUUAUACCAGCUCCAGUAGCGCAUAUUAAAAUUGUUGCAGUUAAAAAGCUCGUAGUUGAAUAUCAGUGGGGGAAUUCCCCCACUCUGUCCGAACAGUGGCGCAAGCCCCUCACGGACGUUACCAUGAGCAAAUAUGAGUGUUCCAAGCGGGCUUUUGCCUUCAAACAAAGCAUGGAAUAAUAGAAAAGGACUGGGUUCUAUUGGUGUGGGCGCCUAGUAAUGAUUAAUAGGGGCAGUUGGGGGGCAUUCGUACUCGGCAGCCAGAGGUGGAAUUCUAUGACUUCCCGAAGACGAACCUAUGCGAAAGCAUUUGCCAAGGAUGUUUUCAUUAAUCAAGAACGAAAGUUAAAGGGAUCAAAGACGAUCAGAUACCGUCGUAGUCUUAACCAUAAACUAUGCCGACUAGAGAUUGGAGGUGCAAAACAAUACUCCUUCAGGAUCUUCGAGAAAUCAAAGUCUUUGGGUUCUGGGGUGAGUAUAGUCGCAAGACUGAAACCUAAAGGAAUUGACGGAAGGGCACCACCAGGAGUGGAGCUUGCGGCUCAAUUUAACUUAACGCAGGAAAACUUACCAGGACUAGAAGCUAAGAGGAUUGACAGACUGAAGAUCUUUCUUGAUCUAGCUAAUGGUGGUGCAUGGCUGCUCAAAGUCCGUGGAGUGAUCUGUUGGGUUAAUUCCGAUAACGGACGAAACCUCCGCCUUAAACUAGUAAUUUCUUCUUUGAUUCUUACUUCUUUGAGGGACUGUAGGGGCGACCCUGAGGAAGCAGGAGGCGAUAGCAAGUCAGGAUGCCCUUUGAUGUUCUGGGCCGCACGCGCGCUACACUGAUGCAGACAAAACGUCCCUUGUCCGACAGGACUUGGCAACCUUCAAACUGCAUCGUGCUUGGGAUUGACUCUUGUAAUUGGGUCAUCAACGAGGAAUUCCUAGUAAAUGCAGGUCAUCAACCUGCGUUGACUACGUCCCUGUCCUUUGUACACACCGCCCGUCGAUCUCACUGUGUGAGUGUAACGC